RNAcentral lists this long non-coding RNA (927 nucleotides) under Acyrthosiphon pisum (pea aphid). RNAcentral's name for it is "uncharacterized LOC100569894, transcript variant X1". The record is from RNAcentral. Lineage: Eukaryota; Metazoa; Arthropoda; Insecta; Hemiptera; Aphididae.
AAAAACUAAUUAUUAUCGUCUUCGGAGGUGUGGCAAUGCAGCCGGCAGUUGCGGUUGAUGCCAAACGUCACUACGUCACCACCGGUCGGUAGCCCGCGCAAAAAGUUCACGUGAUCGCGAGCAUUUCUCUAGAAAAAAAUCUACGUUGUUUUAUCCGAUUACUCGAUACAAUAUUAAAUUGGCGGAUGGUAGAUCUAUAUUUUGGAAGAAAACUCAACCAGUAUCAAAUUUUGGAACACAUACAUAAUAAUAUGUCGGCAACAUCAACAUCAACGGUAAUGCGAAAAACAUAUCCAUCGACAGACUGAAACCUGUAUUCCUACCACAAGAAGACACAAUUCAACAUGACCACUCCUACGCAGUGAAGGCGAAACUUAAUAAAUCAGUUGUAAAGUGACGCCCGAGUGUUAUGGUCAUAUCACACAUUUCCUGUCAUAUUUAGCCAAUGGUAAAGUCAAACUACCUUUAGAAGGAGGUAACAAUAUAGAUGCGGUUUCAUAUUGUAUGACGAAAACAUUAUUUGAAGAUCCUGUAGCGUACCAUGACUCUACGGACUAAUAUUAUAUUAUAAUCCUUUAAUUGAUUCUACAGACCACUAACUGGACCACUCUAAAUUUACCUAUUAACUAAAAUAUAAUUCAUUUAAGUAACAUUUGACAUUCAAAUAUACUAAUUGAACCACUAAUGGUAAUAAUGGACUAUACGUUUAUAAAUACCUUGCACAAUGUAUAAACUAUUAUCUCAUUCAUAGGUAACAUUUUGGCAAACCAGUUGCCCUUCUAAUAAUAUUUCAUCUCUACGAAAACAACUACUCAAAAAUGACCUCACCCAAAGACACCUGCAAAAUCCACGUGCGAAAAAUUGAAUAUAGGUAGGCCAGGAACAAUGCAUAUUCAAAUGUACCAUAGCCGUUCUCAGCCACAUAGA